CGAGCGAACAGGGAAGAGGCCAGCGCUGAAUCCCCCGCUCUGCGAGCGGCGGGAAAUGUGGCGUUUAGGAGCGGCCGUUUACCCGCGCGCCCGCCGCGUUUCAAGUCCUCUUGAAAGGGGCCACGGCCCGCAGAGGGUGCCAGGCCCGUAGGGGCGCGGCGGCGCGCGGGGGGUCGAUUUCUCCUUCGAGUCGGGUUGCUUGAGAGUGCAGCCCUAAGCAGGUGGUAAACUCCAUCUAAGGCUAAAUACGACCACGAAACCGAUAGCGAACAAGUACCGUGAGGGAAAGUUGARAAGAACUUUGAAGARAGAGUUCAAGAGUACGUGAAACCGCUCAGUGGUAAACGGAAGGUGUCCGAGUAAACCAGUCCGGGGAAACUCAAUGUCCCCGCGCGAUUCGGCGGGCCGUCGCCGCCCGGGAUCCGUGCUCCUUCGGGACUCGCCUCGCGCGGUCCACGCGGGGGUUGCGGAGUCCCUCCCGGGCGCGGCGGUCGCUAAUAGCGCGCCCGAGAGGUUUGCGCGAGUCGGCGCGCGGGGGCGUGCACUUUUCCUUCGACAUAGUGCGUCGCGAUCUGCUGGACGGCGGGUAAUCGGCCCGGAUCGGCGCUCCUCGUCGGGACGCGCGCCUCUUUGCGGGGGCGUGCGCUUCCGGCGGGGAACCGUCCGGUGGGUUAAGACCGGUGCGGGCGGCUGCUUCGCGCGGCGCCCCUUAAGUCCGGCGCCUCUGACCGACCCGCCGUGUAAGUCGGGCCGCGUAGUGCGGCGCGCAGUUGACGGCAGUCACGAAAUACGUGGAAAGACAUCCCGACCGCCCUUCGGGGCGGCGGGUCUCUCCGGUGCCACGGCGACCCCCUUCCGGGGGUUCKCCUUCWCAMMCGCGGCCGCGGACGUCAGACGGURCCCGUKKCCGUUCYGGAUAGCCGGCGAGCGUUCGGGSGCGUCCUUCCGASUACGGCCGCGCGGUGAUCAGGGGAGGGCGGGUAUAYUGAGMGUAAAAGCUCYCCSGUGAUGAAUCKGCGGSGCGAGUCUCKGAACACCUUYYGACCCGUCUUGAAACACGGRCCAARRAGUCUCACUUGUGCGCGAGUCAAAGGGAAMUUUWCGAAUCYCGAUGGCGAAGUGAAAGCGAAUGUCUUAAAUUUUUUUUUAAAAAAUUUUUCGGGCGCGGGCCGGGCUCUUACGUUCGGCGGCGCGCCCGGCUGUGGGAGGAUGGCGGGGGCGCGCGCUUAACACACGCGACGCUAACCUCCCGUCCGCACUCCCGUGGCGUCGUUCCGCUCGUCGGACGGCGCCCAAAGAGCGCACACGUUGGUACCCGAAAGAUGGUGAACUAUGCGCGGUCAGGACGAAGCCAGGGGAAACCCUGGUGGAGGUCCGCCGCGAUUCUGACGUGCAAAUCGAUCGUCUGAGCUGCGUAUAGGGGCGAAAGACUAAUCGAACCAUCUAGUAGCUGGUUCUCUCCGAAGUUUCCCUCAGGAUAGCUGUUGCUCAGAGCUCGWGAAAUACGCACCGGAGUCCGAAAUUAUGAGUCUCAUCCGGUAAAGCGAAUGAUUAGAGGCCUUAGGGCCGAAACGACCUUAACCUAUUCUCAAACUUUAAAUGGGUGAGAACGUCGGCAUGCUCGGAGGCGACCCCUACCGGGUGUGAUGCCGGCGAGAGGAUCUGGAGCAAUCAGUGGGCCAUUUUUGGUAAGCAGAACUGGCGCUGUGGGAUGAACCAAACGUAGAGUUAAGGCGCCUAAAGGACCACGCUAAUGGGAAACCAUAAAGGGCGUUGUUUGCUGAUGACAGUUGGGCGGUGGCCAUGGAAGUCGGAAUCCGCUAAGGAGUGUGUAACAACUCACCAACCGAAGCAACUAGCCCUGAAAAUGGAUGGCGCUAAAGCGUCCUGCCUAUACUCUACCGCCGGCGGCAAGGAUGAGGGCGCCCCGCACGUCCCGCGUCGGGUGGACACUCUUUAACCGGAUGUCCAGGAGCCCUGUUAAGCCCCGGUGAGUAGGAGAGUCGCGGCGGCGAGCGCAGAAGGGUCGGGCGCGAGCCUACCUGGAGCCGCCGUCGGUGCAGAUCUUGGUAGUAGUAGCAAAUACUCUAGCGAGGGCCUGGAGGGCUGAUGUGGAGAAGGGUUUCGUGUGAACAGCCGUUGCACACGAGUCAGUCGAUCCUAAGCCCUAGGAGAAAUCCGAUGUAGAUGCGAGCCCGAUCGGAGCGGCGAAUACGGCGGCGGCGACGAGCCUGCGGUGGAGGGGGCCCGAGGCCCCCCACGUGCACCCGAAAGCUCGAUCGUCGUCGCCUCGUUAUUUCAAGCCGCGGGCCGCGUCGGGCGAAAGGGAAUCCGGUUCCUAUUCCGGAACCCGGUCGCGGAACCGUCUCACGUCGGGCCCCCCGUUUCGGCGGGAAGCUCGUCGGGGUAACCCAAAUAGACUCGGAGAAGCCGUCGGGAGGUCGGGGAAGAGUUUUCUUUUCUGUUUGAGCGUUCGGGUUCCCUGGAAUGGUCUAGCACCGAGAUAGGGAAUGGAGCGCGUAGAGCACCG
Molecule: ribosomal RNA, 2530 nt
Filed under: Pentacentrus sp. BYU-IGC-OR463
Lineage: Eukaryota; Metazoa; Arthropoda; Insecta; Orthoptera; Gryllidae
Description: eukaryotic LSU rRNA
Rfam family: Eukaryotic large subunit ribosomal RNA
Source: RNAcentral